AUGGCUCUCCUUGUGCCAUUACUGGUGCUGCUUCUCUUCUCUAGCUCCUGUGGUACAUCAUCAUCUCUUGACAUUUCCCAUGGAACAACCGCAGCCAGCGUGGGCGAGGAGCUCAACUACUACGUCGUCGUGGAAACUACCUCGCUGGAGCCGAGCCCCGUCUGCCAAGGUCACAGGGUGAGCCCAUCGGCCAGCGGCAGCGGCAACCUUACCGGCGGCGCCUGGGUGCCGCUGAGCCAUCCUAAUGGUCCGUGCUCCGAGGCAGGGAACAGUGGCGCGCCGUGGUCAUCCGCGGCCGAGACGCUCCAGUGGGACCAGCACCGCGCCGGAUACAUCCAGAGGAAGCUCUCCGGCGAUGAGCCCGCCGGCGACGACGACGAACCGCCCCUUCAGCAACCCCAGGCAUCCGGGGUCACUAGCGAGCCCGCCGCAAAGUUUGCUCUGCCAGCUGGAAAUCAGGGGAAGUCCGAGGUCACUCCGACGGCCACGGUCGGCGGGGGCAGUCUGCCCGGAGUGACCCAACACAUGGUGAUCGACACGGCCAGCGACGUGCCGUGGGUGCAGUGCGCGCCCUGCCCAAAGCCGCAGUGCCACCCUCAGACGGACGCCACGUACGACCCAAGCAAGUCCACCACCUAUGCUCCCUUCCCUUGCAGCUCGCCCGUCUGCCGCCAGCUCGGCCCGUACGCCAACGGCUGCACCGGCGCCGGCAACACCGGCCAGUGCCAGUACCGCGUCCAGUACCCCGACGGAUCAUCCACCUCCGGCACCUACAUCUCCGACGUGCUAACAAUCACCCCCACCCCCGCCGGCAUGGUCAGCGGCUUCCGCUUCGGGUGCAGCCACGCCCUGCAGCGACCCGACCUCUUCAGCAACACCACCGCCGGGAUCAUGUCGCUCGGCCGGGGCGCGCAGUCGCUCUCGUCGCAGACCAAGGGUACCUACGGCCACGUCUUCUCCUACUGCGUCCCGCCGACGUCGAGCCACACCGGCUUCUUCGUCCUCGGCGUCCCGAGGAUCGCCGCCUCCAAGUACGUGCUCACGCCCAUGCUCAAGAGCAAGAUGGUCCCGUCCAUGUACCUCGUGCGCCUCCGCGGCAUCGACGUAGCCGGUCAGCGCGUCGCCGUGCCUCCCAUGGUAUUUGCAGCCGGCGCGGUGAUGGACUCCCGCACCGUCAUCACGCGCCUCCAGCCGACCGCGUACCGCGCGCUGCGCGACGCCUUCAGGGCCCAGAUGGGCGCGUACCGCGUCGCACCGCCCAAGGGCCAGCUUGACACCUGCUACGACUUCACCGGCGUCCGCACCCUCAGGCUGCCCAAGAUCUCGCUUGUGUUCGACAGCCGGAGCAACAGCGGCGCUGCCGUGGAGCUGGACCCGUCGGGGGUGCUGUUCAACAGCUGCCUCGCGUUCGCGUCCACCGGCGCCGGCGACGGAUCCACCGGUGUCAUCGGCCACGUCCAGCAGCGGACGAUCGAGGUGCUCUACAACGUCGGCGGCAGCGCCGUCGGGUUCCGCCGUGCCGCGUGCUGA
Molecule: ribosomal RNA, 1530 nt
Filed under: Triticum aestivum (bread wheat)
Lineage: Eukaryota; Viridiplantae; Streptophyta; Magnoliopsida; Poales; Poaceae
Description: partial small subunit ribosomal RNA
Source: RNAcentral